GUCCCCAAACCACCUCACCGCAUAAUCUUAAGAAGUCACCUCACUCUCUUGACCACAGGCCCCUCAUUUGUGGAGGUGGAUUUGAAACCAUUUAUCUCAUAAGGUUACCAUGCAGAUUAAAUAAGACAAUCUAGGAAAAACUGUUAGCACAAUAGCAGGUAAAGCUGAAACAGAUGGUUACUAAGGAGACUAUCAGCUUUAUGACCUGAAGAAAGCAAAAUUUCACCCCUGGAAAAAAGUCUGCUACCUCACAAGCAGACAGCCUUUGAAUGUGAACUGGAACAUCAGCUCUCCUGGGUCUCCAGCCUGUUGGCCCAACCUACAGAUUUCGGACUUGCUAGUCUCUAUAAUCAUGUGUGCAGGAAACGCUAAAGGAAUUGAAGAAGAAAUACCCAAAUCAUACCCUAGGUUCCACUUAUCAAAGGUCAACAGCCGCUGUUGCUCAUUCAGUAAAGAUAACAAGGAAUUUCUCCCAGAAGAUGGCUUUGAUUUAUGGAAACCAUGUGACUGUUAAAAGGCAGAUUAUUUUUAUUUCAGUACUUGAUCCUUUGAACGGGAGUCUUUAAAACAACAAAAAAAAAAAUCAACCAUCAUUGGUAACACCAGCAUUUCAGAUCUUCGAACUACCUGUGACAAGGGUCACCAGGGCCAUCACGCCUGUCGUUGCUAAGAUCACAGCUGCCAAAUCCUUAUUGCCAUCUACUCUGCCUAAAAGCGCUCUGUCGUCAUGAACAGGAUUUCUGUUUACACUGCCCAGCAGGACUGAAGAAAGAGAAAAAGCUGAAAGAGGAAUUAGCUCUCUGCUUAAAGAAAAGUGUGAUCCAAAACCUUGACCAAAGAGCCACAACUGCAAGUCUGAUAGAAUGGAUGGGCAAGACGGGGAGGCUUUACGAUAUUUUUUUGUUUGAAGAGUUGUGAAUAGGUACCUAGAUCAUCCGAAGUACCCAAACAUCAAAUGCCAGUAUAACCUUACACAAAAUUAAUCCCAGAUGGAUAAAAAAUUUAAAGGAAAACAUAAAAGAACUAAGAUAUGUGGGUCCAUGGGAAAUGAUCCAUGUGUAUGGCUCCUAAGAUCUGCUUCUAAUGAUGUGGGGGAUAGAUGUAUACACACAGGCAAGACCUCCUGCACAGAAGCUGGCAGAAGAGUUGCUUAAACAACAACAGUUCAGUGACUCAUCUGUGUUUUCACAACACGUUUGUACCAGCACCCAUGUCUAUUUGUAGCCUGACAAUAAAGACCCUAUAUGAACCAUC
Molecule: long non-coding RNA, 1254 nt
Organism: Felis catus (domestic cat)
Lineage: Eukaryota; Metazoa; Chordata; Mammalia; Carnivora; Felidae
Exons: 7
Source: RefSeq, a predicted model, not a curated record